This 274-nucleotide ribosomal RNA is filed under the name uncultured bacterium. RNAcentral's name for it is "partial 16S ribosomal RNA". It matches the Rfam family "Archaeal small subunit ribosomal RNA", at positions 473 to 747 of the family's 1478-position model. The record is from RNAcentral.
AAACCAGCACCUCAAGUGGUCAGGAUGAUUAUUGGGCCUAAAGCAUCCGUAGCCGGCUCUGUAAGUUUUCGGUUAAAUCUGUACGCUUAACGUACAGGCUGCCGGGAAUACUGCAGAGCUAGGGAGUGGGAGAGGUAGACGGUACUCGGGAGGAAGUGGUAAAAUGCUUUGAUCUCUCGAUGACCACCUGUGGCGAAGGCGGUCUACCAGAACACGUCCGACGGUGAGGGAUGAAAGCUGGGGGAGCAAACCGGAUUAGAAACCCUGGUAGUCC